Molecule: ribosomal RNA, 274 nt
Filed under: uncultured bacterium
Lineage: Bacteria
Description: partial 16S ribosomal RNA
Rfam family: Bacterial small subunit ribosomal RNA
Source: RNAcentral
AGACGAACCGUACGAACGUUAUUCGGAAUCACUGGGCUUAAAGGGUGCGUAGGCGGCAUGGCAAGUUGGGUGUGAAAUCCCUCGGCUCAACCGAGGAAUGGCGCCCAAAACUGCCUUGCUUGAGGGAGAUAGAGGUGAGCGGAACUACGGGUGGAGCGGUGAAAUGCGUUGAUAUCCGUAGGAACACCGGUGGCGAAAGCGGCUCACUGGGUCUCUUCUGACGCUGAGGCACGAAAGCUAGGGUAGCGAACGGGAUUAGAUACCCCAGUAGUCC